Molecule: ribosomal RNA, 253 nt
Filed under: uncultured bacterium
Lineage: Bacteria
Description: partial 16S ribosomal RNA
Rfam family: Bacterial small subunit ribosomal RNA
Source: RNAcentral
UACGAAGGGUGCAAGCGUUCCUCGGAAUUCCUGGGCGUAAAGCGUGCGUAGGUGGUUUGUUAAGUCUGAUGUGAAAGCCCUGGGCUCAACCUGGGAACGGCAUUGGAAACUGGCUUACUAGAGUGCGGUAGAGGGGUGUGGAAUUCCCGGUGUAGCAGUGAAAUGCGUAGAUAUCGGGAGGAACAUCUGUGGCGGAGGCGACACCCUGGACCAGCACUGACACUGAGGCACGAAAGCGUGGGGAGCAAACAGG